Long non-coding RNA from Frankliniella occidentalis (western flower thrips), 445 nucleotides. RefSeq lists it as uncharacterized. The transcript is spliced from 4 exons. The record is from RefSeq and is a predicted model, not a curated record. NCBI's taxonomy places the organism in Eukaryota, Metazoa, Arthropoda, Insecta, Thysanoptera, Thripidae.
GCCGACUCGAGGGAGCGCCGUUCUUCUCUCUCUCUCUCUCUAUCUCUCAAAACACAAUAACACAAAACUUUCACUUUGGUGUUUAUUACCACAGUUUUGGUGUCACUGUGUUUCUUCGAUUCUACACGUUGACAGUGUACGCUGUUGGUCUGACAAUCUCUGCAAGGCUCCACGUCCAACUUUCCUUCUCAUCUUGCAGAAUCAGGGAAGGAACCUCCUCAUCACAACCUUACCUCAAGUAGUUGUCAGUAUAUAGUAGGAGUCCAGCUUGACAUCCAUACACAGCAGCGGCUGUGAAAUGUCCCUUUUCAUUGCUCUGUCAAAGUUGGACAUCGGCUACUGAUGUUUGACAAGAUUAAUUAUUUUGGUGUUGACUUCAAGGUGGAGGUAGAAAACACAAAUGUUGCUGCCGUUUGAGCAAGAAGUGUGGAGGAGAACAAUCUUG